GACGAACGCUGGCGGCGUGCUUAACACAUGCAAGUCGAACGGAAAGGCCCUGCUUUUGUGGGGUGCUCGAGUGGCGAACGGGCGAGUAACACGUGAGUAACCUGCCCUUGACUUUGGGAUAACUUCAGGAAACUGGGGCUAAUACCGGAUAGGAGCUCCUGCUGCAUGGUGGGGGUUGGAAAGUUUCGGCGGUUGGGGAUGGACUCGCGGCUUAUCAGCUUGUUGGUGGGGUAGUGGCUUACCAAGGCUUUGACGGGUAGCCGGCCUGAGAGGGUGACCGGCCACAUGGGGACUGAGAUACGGCCCAGACUCCUACGGGAGGCAGCAGUGGGGAAUAUUGCACAAUGGGCGGAAGCCUGAUGCAGCAACGCCGCGUGCGGGAUGACGGCCUUCGGGUUGUAAACCGCUUUCGCCUGUGACGAAGCGUGAGUGACGGUAAUGGGUAAAGAAGCACCGGCUAACUACGU
This 467-nucleotide ribosomal RNA is filed under the name uncultured bacterium. Its description in RNAcentral is "partial 16S ribosomal RNA". It matches the Rfam family "Bacterial small subunit ribosomal RNA", at positions 28 to 506 of the family's 1533-position model. The record is from RNAcentral.